Molecule: non-coding RNA, 2466 nt
Organism: Coturnix japonica (Japanese quail)
Lineage: Eukaryota; Metazoa; Chordata; Aves; Galliformes; Phasianidae
Source: RefSeq, a predicted model, not a curated record
AUUACUCUUAGUUGUUUAAAUCAGGUUGAUUCAUAAUCCUCUACAAGAGAAAAAUCAAUGCUGGAGUGCUUUGCUUAUGUAAUAAUGUACAUUAGUGAGGCUGGAGUUCCUCCUUGGUGAGAUAAAGCAGUUAAAACAUGUAGAGAGUACCUUUUGAAUUCAUUAUGAAUUGAUUUUCAUCCUUUUAAUAUUCUUGCCUUACAAAGAGAUUCCUAUAUAACACGCUGGCCUUUUUUUCUGCCUGUUCAUCUCCUCCUUGGUUUGAGGUUUGGCUCUCAAGGAGUUCUUCUCCCAGUCUGUACAGGUACCUGGGAUUGCCCCAGUCCAAGUGCAACGCCUUGCACUUGGCCUUGUUAAACCUUAUUGGGUAAAGUUGAUCUUCCCUUACAGCGUGAGGAACAUCACUCCCUCAGUCCCUACCUUACAACUCAUCCACUUGAGGGGUCUAUGAAGAGUAGCCAGCAGUGAACACAACUUUUCUAAGUUGUUCAGUACCUCAGCCUUCUUCUUGUCCAUUGUUACCAGCUGGCCUAUAUUGCUAACUGGGCUUUGCCUUCCUAGGCCUUCUUUUUCUGGUUGAUGUAGUAGCAGAGAGAGCACAAAAACAGGUUUCUGUUGGAAAAUAUUUCAAGAGCAGGUGACGAACCAUGCUAAUGCAGACUCUGUACAUAAUGGAAACGAUUAUAGACAAAGCCAUGAAUAUACUGGAUCAUCUAUCUUUCUUUGAGAUGAUGCUUAAAGUUACUUGAACCGCAACGUAAUACAAAGGUCGUAUCUGUUAUUUUGACUGGUGCUUUUAAAUGUGUUGUGUUCCCUUGUGCUGUUCCAUCUUUCUCUCCCAUUUUCAUCCUCCCUAACCUGAUAGAUCAGCUUGAGGCUUGCCUUCAGGCCGUGGCUGCCCAGGUACACCCAUCCUCUGAGGAGGUAUCACCAAGUGUCCUGCCAAAAACUCUGCUUCUCCCCGGAAGAUGAAUCACUGCGGAAGUAAGCCUUCAUGACUGUGCUUUGACAAACACUGAGGUUAGAUAAGGUUUCCAGCUGGAGGGAGAGGAAUGCUUUUCCCACCAGAAAACCCUUCUGUCCAUUUCUGCUGACGCUGUCUAACAGCCAGGAUGCAGCUGGAGGAAGAUUCUUGACGCUUGCUUCUCUCCUACACUCACAGAACAAAGAACGUGUGUGAGCUCCUGUCCGUGCUGCAGGCGUUGCACAUGGUGCUGGCCUUUUUCACCAUUACAGUAUGGGGCUUGUGGAAACUGCAGAGGUCCAGGUCUCCAGGAACCCAAAUACCCAAAAUAUGGAGCCGUACUCCCAUCAUUGUGCCACGUAACCCCUUCAGGAGGCAAGAAAGCCCUCAGAAAAUGUAGCAUGUCAGCAAUAAGGAGGUUGUCCAUGUCAAAGAUCCCUCAGGGGUUCCUAGCCAGCUGACGUUGGACAAAAUCCUGGAGUCAAUCUCAUCCAUAUCUGCUUUUUUUCCAGUGAUUCCUCUGUGUAGAUGUCAACUUUUGGGCCAGGCCACCUAAGGUGGAGUCAUAGAAGUCCCCAAUAUACUCGUUUGACUCCAGGACAAACAAACGUGCUGAGGUCACCCUCAAGUUAUAGCAUCAUUGGGAUGUCAGCAGGUCAGACUGUGGGUCAGGGAAGAUGAUCCUACCGCGGUCUCUGCUGCAGCCCCAUUAACCUUUGUGGCUCAGCUCCUCUGCCUGGUUAAAAUUUAAACACUUGCAUAAGUGGUUUGCUGAACUGAUGCCAGCAAGAUCAAUGUCUUGCAGGACCGAACACAUUAAUUCUUGCUCUCGGAGAAGUGGUGGGGAAAUACAGACAAGCCAGAACACUAAACAAUUUGGGAGUAUUUGAUCCAAUGAGAAAGGCAAAUCCCAAAGCUUAGGAAUCCUCAUGCACUUUGUAAGAAGAAGAGAAAGGGAGUUCAAGGUUCCCCCGCCUCAACUGAGCUUGGCGCUGUGGUAGCCAUGACUUUGCAUGGAUGAAGGAUAUUAUUGCACACCAGAGAGAGCCAAGACACUGUUUGUCAUGCUGGUUUGCAAGAACAGAUUAUGUAUUCACCAGCCUCUUAUUCUUAACUUUAGAAAAAAAGUUUCCAAAUAUUCUUUUCUUCUGCUUGAUCUUGUAUUGAAGAACAAAGCUCUCGGGAGAAUGGGCAGCUAGGAGGCAUGUUUCUUCCUGGAGUGAUACUAAACUCCUUCAACAGAAACAGAUGAUAACAAGUACGCUGAAAGCAAAAAUAAAAGAUGCCUCAAACAAAAGCAAUAUACUUCCUAAACAAGGCUCCCAGGCACACCGGUUUCUCCCUUUGGGAAGAGGAUAUGAGAAUGAACACACGACACCUGUUAGUCACGUCACUUAACUGCAUGCCUGGAAAGUACUCAGAUCUCAUGGAGAUGAUGAUGACACUGAAAGACCCUAUGCAGAACGUAAAUGCUGAGCUACAAUAAAGGCUUUCAAAACAGC